Trichonephila clavipes is the source of this 73-nucleotide non-coding RNA. The record is from the annotation of a GenBank genome assembly. Lineage: Eukaryota; Metazoa; Arthropoda; Arachnida; Araneae; Nephilidae.
GCCCAGCCAGUAUGGAGGCUAUGACCCUCGGCUUGUAACCGAGUGGGUUCGGGUUCGAAUCCCGAGUAAGACU